UUUUGGCGAAUAAGGACUGGGUAAGACGAGUGCCAGCCGCCGCGGUAAUCCUCGCGGUCCAAGUCGCAGCCACUUUUAUUAGGUCUAAAACAUCCGUAGCUUGCUUUUUAAGUUUCUUGUGAAAUUCUGUGUCUCAAGCACAGAGCGUGCAAGAAAUACUGAAAAGCUAGAGACUGGAAGACGUAAGAAGUACGUUUGAAGUAGCGGUAAAAUGUGUUAAUCUCAAGCGGACUCACAACAGCGAAGGCAUCUUACGAGGACAGUUCUGACAGUAAGGGAUGAAGGCCAAGGGCGCAAAAGGGAUUAGAUACCCCUGUAGUCUUGGCAGUAAACACUGUACACUAAACAUUAGUACCUCCUCGAGAGGUAUUGGUGCUGAAGCGAAGGCGAAAAGUGUACUACCUGGGAAGUAUAGUCGCAAGACCGAAACUUAAAGGAAUUGGCGGGGGAGCAC
Molecule: ribosomal RNA, 454 nt
Filed under: uncultured archaeon
Lineage: Archaea
Description: bacterial SSU rRNA
Rfam family: Archaeal small subunit ribosomal RNA
Source: RNAcentral